CUGGAGAUGGCUCAGAGGUUAAGAGCACUGGCUGCUCUUCCAGAGGUCCUGAGUUCAAUUCCCAGCCCCCACA
Molecule: transfer RNA, 73 nt
Filed under: Mesocricetus auratus (golden hamster)
Lineage: Eukaryota; Metazoa; Chordata; Mammalia; Rodentia; Cricetidae
Rfam family: tRNA
About the family: Transfer RNA (tRNA) molecules are approximately 80 nucleotides in length. Their secondary structure includes four short double-helical elements and three loops (D, anti-codon, and T loops). Further hydrogen bonds mediate the characteristic L-shaped molecular structure. tRNAs have two regions of fundamental functional importance: the anti-codon, which is responsible for specific mRNA codon recognition, and the 3' end, to which the tRNAs corresponding amino acid is attached (by aminoacyl-tRNA synthetases). tRNAs cope with the degeneracy of the genetic code in two manners: having more than one tRNA (with a specific anti-codon) for a particular amino acid; and 'wobble' base-pairing, i.e. permitting non-standard base-pairing at the 3rd anti-codon position.
Source: Rfam by way of RNAcentral